AGUGAACGCUGGCGGUAGGCCUAACACAUGCAAGUCGAACGGCAGCACAGUAAGAGCUUGCUCUUACGGGUGGCGAGUGGCGGACGGGUGAGGAAUACAUCGGAAUCUACUUUUUCGUGGGGGAUAACGUAGGGAAACUUACGCUAAUACCGCAUACGACCUACGGGUGAAAGCAGGGGAUCUUCGGACCUUGCGCGAUUGAAUGAGCCGAUGUCGGAUUAGCUAGUUGGCGGGGUAAAGGCCCACCAAGGCGACGAUCCGUAGCUGGUCUGAGAGGAUGAUCGGCCACACGGGAACUGGGACACGGUCCGGACACCGACGGGAGGCGGCGGUGGGAAUUAUUGGACAUGGGGCGAAGGCCUGAUCCAGCCAUACGGGGGGGGUGAAGAAGGCCUUCGGGUUGUAAAGCCCUUUUGUUGGGAAAGAAAAGCAGCAGGUUAAUACCCCGCUGUUCGAACGGUACCCAAAGAAUAAGCACCGGCUACUUCGUG
This 491-nucleotide ribosomal RNA is filed under the name uncultured bacterium. RNAcentral's name for it is "partial 16S ribosomal RNA". It matches the Rfam family "Bacterial small subunit ribosomal RNA", at positions 29 to 507 of the family's 1533-position model. The record is from RNAcentral.